Molecule: long non-coding RNA, 1010 nt
Organism: Hevea brasiliensis (rubber tree)
Lineage: Eukaryota; Viridiplantae; Streptophyta; Magnoliopsida; Malpighiales; Euphorbiaceae
Exons: 2
Source: RefSeq, a predicted model, not a curated record
UCUCUCUCUCUCUCUGUUAAUCUCUACUGACAAAUCUCUUAGCACAACCAAUCCUGAUACCUCUCUCUUAUCCAUUACCCAUUCAACCCUUUCUCUUCUUCCUCUAUAAGUAUUUAUACCCUUCAAAAGCUUCAAUACUCUACCAUCUGUUUUUCUUCUCUGUUCUUCCUUUUGAGUUUCUUUUCCUUAGCGUUUUUUCUUUUGAUGGGUAGUAGGUGUAUGAUUUCUUCUUCCAUGUUCUCUCCAAUUCUUUCUUUGAGUCUUUGGUACUUUUCAGUUUAUGCAAAGAGACUAACCGUAGAUGGCUUUUCCAUCAAGUGCGUCUUUACUUAUUUCAUACAUCUAGACAUGGGCUUAACCUUUUGAAGCUUUUUUUUAUAGAUGUCCUGGGCUUUGCUUUUCAUUCCUCUUUACUUUUCUUUCAUGGGAUGAGAUUUAGGGUUAGGGUUAGGGUUCCAAUUGUAAAAGCAAUUAGUUAGCCAACUCUUCCCCUUUUCUUCUUUCUUUUUUCUUUUUUGCAUGGCAGAUGAUGAUGAUGAUUGCCAAGAUCUAAAGAAACAUCACAACAGCCACUGUUUGCAGAUGGAGCAUCAUCAAGAUUCACAAACUUUAUCCAGGGCAAGUGGGGUGGAGUUGAUGGUGGCUUUUGUUGGUCCCUUUCGCUUCAUUCCAAACGGCCCCUCUGAUAUGGGAAUCUUGAUGAUGCUGCAGCGGCAAUAAAUGGCUAAUUUAUCUCCAUUUGCAACAGAUUGUAGACACAAAGGGAUCGAUAUCGAUACCAGCUCCCAAAGAUGAGGUCCCAAAGAUGAGGUGGGUUUUUGUACUGCUGCUCCUGUUCUCAGUAAGGUAUGUCUGUCCUUUGGUGAACUUCUGGUCAGUAACAUUGCAAAUCGUGGGUUGCUUUUAUUUUUUGGAUAUUUCAUGUUUUAUUUGCUUCUUCUUUUUCUGAUAGUUCUACUCUCUGUAGAUCUUGAUUAUCAUUUUAUUUAAACAGUUUAUUAUCUACGCAA